This 253-nucleotide ribosomal RNA is filed under the name uncultured bacterium. RNAcentral describes it as "partial 16S ribosomal RNA". It matches the Rfam family "Bacterial small subunit ribosomal RNA", at positions 524 to 776 of the family's 1533-position model. The record is from RNAcentral.
UACGUAGGCAGCGAGCGUUGUUCGGAAUUACUGGGCGUAAAGCGUGCGCAGGCGGCUUUGCAAGACAGAUGUGAAAUCCCCGGGCUUAACCUGGGAACUGCAUUUGUGACUGCAUGGCUGGAGUGCGGCAGAGGGGGAUGGAAUUCCGCGUGUAGCAGUGAAAUGCGUAGAUAUGCGGAGGAACACCGAUGGCGAAGGCAGUCCCCUGGGCCUGCACUGACGCUCAUGCACGAAAGCGUGGGGAGCAAACAGG